RNAcentral lists this ribosomal RNA (468 nucleotides) under uncultured bacterium. RNAcentral describes it as "partial 16S ribosomal RNA". It matches the Rfam family "Bacterial small subunit ribosomal RNA", at positions 28 to 507 of the family's 1533-position model. The record is from RNAcentral.
GACGAACGCUGGCGGCGUGCUUAACACAUGCAAGUCGAACGGAAAGGCCCUGCUUUUGUGGGGUGCUCGAGUGGCGAACGGGUGAGUAACACGUGAGUAACCUGCCCUUGACUUUGGGAUAACUUCAGGAAACUGGGGCUAAUACCGGAUAGGAGCUCCUGCUGCAUGGUGGGGGUUGGAAAGUUUCGGCGGUUGGGGAUGGACUCGCGGCUUAUCAGCUUGUUGGUGGGGUAGUGGCUUACCAAGGCUUUGACGGGUAGCCGGCCUGAGAGGGUGACCGGCCACAUUGGGACUGAGAUACGGGCCAGACGGCUACGGGAGGCAGCAGUGGGGAAUAUUGCACAAUGGGCGGAAGGCUGAUGCAGCAACGCCGGGUGCGGGAUGACGGCCUUCGGGUUGUAAACCGCUUUCGCCUGUGACGAAGCGUGAGUGACGGUAAUGGGUAAAGAAGCACCGGCUAACUACGUG